CAGCCUGCUAACCAUUCAGGUCCCAAACCUUCUGAAAGUGGCAAAACCUCCUGCCAAGUGGUGUCAUUCAGAAGAACAGAGGGAGACUCACUUCUUCACUGAGGAGGUUCUUACGGCUGACUUGCUAUACUUGACCGUGAAGAUGAUGCUCUCUACCGAAUUACAUCGGCACAAGGAAUUUACAGAAACUGGAUGUGGCUGUGAUAAAAAACAGAGCAGAGCACAGUUUUGCUGGGACAACAGUGGCCAUCAGUUACUCUGUCGUGUGGUCCAAGCUGGUUCCCCCAACUCCUUAGAGGAACCUAAAGAGGAGCAACAGCAGAGCCAAGGACAACCAGUACCCUAGAAGACUAGAAAAGAACUAAACUAAACUAACAGAACUAAACAUCCCAUAAGGAAAGAAGAAAAAAAAGAAAGUUCAUAAGAGGCAGCGUGUUUCUAACCCACCCUGAAUAUAUGAAGAAUCUCAGGCCUGCAUUUGAAAGACUAUUAUACUGUAGGGAACUGGGGAAAAUUCUAAAGAAUGGAAGGGCCAUUCUGGAACUUUCACAUAGACCCUUUUUCCCCCACCCAAGUUAACACUGAGUUAAAGGAUCAUUUGCCUGAAUUCCCAGUAUGUGCUCGACCUGUCAGCAUAGGAACCUGUAAUAAGGUACUACCCUGCCCCUCUCUUCCACCAAUACAGGUAUGGUACUAAGCUUAUACUCAAAACUGAAAACUUCUUACUGUUUUUCUCUUCCCAUAUUAAAAAUAAAUAAAUAAAUAAGGCUAAGAAACUAAGAAACAUGCCUGAGUGAAAAUGUUUCCUGGAGCUAAGUAGGGUCAUAUUGAGAAACUGAUCAGGGUGGUGAACCAUAGUUGAUUGAAUGAGGGCUCUUCAUCUGCUUCAACUAAUGAAGCUAGACUUCUUGGAAGAUCACGCAUUUUAGAUAUAUAAAUAACAAAGACAUUUAGUGUAAGUUUAAAGGACCAGAUAAAGGAACCAAAAGAGAAGAAGUUUGUUUCUUAAUGGAAGUAAACAAAAAGAUCAUC
This is a long non-coding RNA of Pan paniscus (pygmy chimpanzee), 1032 nucleotides long. The record is from Ensembl. NCBI's taxonomy places the organism in Eukaryota, Metazoa, Chordata, Mammalia, Primates, Hominidae.